This 448-nucleotide ribosomal RNA is filed under the name uncultured bacterium. RNAcentral describes it as "bacterial SSU rRNA". It matches the Rfam family "Bacterial small subunit ribosomal RNA", at positions 470 to 916 of the family's 1533-position model. The record is from RNAcentral.
UGACAUUACCUAUAGAAAAAGCACCGGCUAACUCCGUGCCAGCAGCCGCGGUAAUACGGAGGGUGCAAGCGUUAAUCGGAAUUACUGGGCGUAAAGCGUGCGUAGGCGGUUGUUUAAGUCAGAUGUGAAAGCCCUGGGCUUAACCUGGGAACUGCAUUUGAUACUGGGCGACUAGAGUUGAGUAGAGGGGAGGGGAAUUUCAGGUGUAGCGGUGAAAUGCGUAGAUAUCUGAAGGAACACCCGUGGCGAAGGCGCCUCCCUGGACUCGAACUGACGCUGAGGUACGAAAGCGUGGGUAGCAAACAGGAUUAGAUACCCUGGUAGUCCACGCCGUAAACGAUGUCAACUAGCCGUUGGUCUUAUUCACAAGAUUAGUGGCGCAGCUAACGCGUUAAGUUGACCGCCUGGGGAGUACGGCCGCAAGGUUAAAACUCAAAUGAAUUGACGG